CUGGGUGGUCUUGGGCUCGCAGCAGAAUGGGGUGGGGCAGGACAGAGCUUCCCAUGGAAUUCAGGGCUGCGCUGUGCCUCGGGAUGCUCAGAAGUACUGGUCCAGCCCUGGCAACUGGAGCUCUUCUCCUCCAUGCUGAUAGUCUUUCUCUCCUUGGCUGCACUGCUUCCAAGCAAAGCAACCGACCUGCAAAGUCGGGAUGGUUGGGUGGAGUCAGGAGAACACACACGAAGGCACUGUGUUCCACCGUGCUGCCCUUCGGUCUGAACUCAGCAAGGGUUCCAUGCGUCAGGACUCAUCCCUGUCUGUCAAGGGAAGCCCCCCCGAGCAUGGAAAGCCCAGGAAGAGGCUUCGUCUCCAAUCCCGAGUGCCCUGCACAUGGCUGCGCGCAGUGAUGUUUGAAAAUGGAGCUGAUUCCGAAGUUGCUCAUUUCAGGUGGAUCUGUGGUACAAAAUUACUCCAGCAACUUUAUCCCUCAUCCGGGGUUUUUACACAACAAAUUUACGGGAGAGGUCUUGUGAGCGGCAUCGGACCCAGAGGCAGGGAGAAGCCCAGAGCUGCUAACUCCGUACUGAAGGCAGCAUUGUGUCAGAGCCACACGCACCUGCACUCGAGGCUGAGCUCACUGUGAGCCCUGGACCCUGUCCGCGGGGAGGCGCAGGACUUCCCCAGGCGCUCGAGAGGCCCAGCCCUCCCCUGGGUCCACAACUGGAGGAGCAUCGGAGAGGCCAGUUCUGCACCUGGCACCUCACACACGGGGUCAGGGCCCAGAAGCCCCCUGCACUCCCAGCGCUCCCAGAGUUCACCGCAUUUCCCGAGAUACAUCUGAAAUCUUCCAAAUCCUGCCGCAUGGCCUUUAGCUUGCUUUGUAGUUUUAUUUUUGCCGUAUGAAGCUUGAACCCAGGGGAUCCCACAUGGAGUAAGCGCUCUACGCCUGGGUUGCAUCCCUACCCAUCUUGUUGGAUACUGCUGGUUGUUUUGAAUCUUGCCUACAUGGGCUGCUCCAGUUUACAUAGCCACACACAGAAUUAGAUCCUGAAGUUCCGCUUUAAUAAAGAGGCUUGAAAUUAUUCAGAACCCCCCCCCCCCCGUACUAGGGAUUAAACCCACG
RNAcentral lists this long non-coding RNA (1111 nucleotides) under Heterocephalus glaber (naked mole-rat). RNAcentral describes it as "lncRNA (ENSHGLG00100050859.1)". The record is from RNAcentral. Lineage: Eukaryota; Metazoa; Chordata; Mammalia; Rodentia; Bathyergidae.